GUAUAACUGUCGAAUUACCCGAUCAUUGAUGUAUAUCCUAGAAGGGGGUAAUUAAAAAAUUUAAAAACACCUCGAUAGACGGCAGGUGCCAGUAGAUUCAUUAAAUGGCGGAGCACACAUUGUCCUUGCCUUGUCUUUGUUGUUUACUCUUUGUGUUUUAUUUUCUCGGCAAACUUUGUAAUGUUCCCACAAUGUUGAACAUGUUGGCUUCUGCGUAAGCCUGAAAGUUGAUGUACACUUGCUGAUUC
Molecule: non-coding RNA, 248 nt
Organism: Pelobates cultripes (western spadefoot toad)
Lineage: Eukaryota; Metazoa; Chordata; Amphibia; Anura; Pelobatidae
Source: the annotation of a GenBank genome assembly